This 382-nucleotide RNase P RNA is filed under the name Arthrobacter saudimassiliensis. RNAcentral's name for it is "RNaseP_bact_a". It matches the Rfam family "Bacterial RNase P class A". Rfam says of the family: Ribonuclease P (RNase P) is a ubiquitous endoribonuclease, found in archaea, bacteria and eukarya as well as chloroplasts and mitochondria. Its best characterised activity is the generation of mature 5'-ends of tRNAs by cleaving the 5'-leader elements of precursor-tRNAs. Lineage: Bacteria; Bacillati; Actinomycetota; Actinomycetes; Micrococcales; Micrococcaceae. The record is from RNAcentral.
CGGGUUGGCCAGGCAAUCGCGUCGGGGCCUGCAAGGGCACCCGCCGAGGAAAGUCCGGGCUCCGCAGGGCAGGGUGGUGGGUAACGCCCACUCGGGGAAACCCGCAGGACAGUGCCACAGAAAACAGACCGCCGUCGGCCAUGCCGCACGGUAAGGGUGAAAAGGCGGUGUAAGAGACCACCAGCGCCCCGGGUGACCGGGGCGGCUAGGUAAACCCCACCCGGAGCAAGGCCAGACAGGACGCGACCGAGGGCUGCCCGCCCGAGCGUCCGGGUAGGCCGCUGGAGGGCGCCGGCAACGGCGUCCCGAGAUGGAUGAUUGCCGCGGCGGAUCCGGUAACGGAACCGCCGUACAAAACCCGGCUUAUCGGCCAGCCCGUCCC